CUUCUCUGGGUCCUAAGCCCCGGGUCACAGCCAGGUGUGUGUGGGGAAGGACUCGGCCAGCUCCCCCGGCCCCCCGGCCUGUGGUCCCGGCUAUGCACCCAGCUUUCCUGCCUUCACCCCGACUUCUGCGCUUGUUCCUGGUGCCUGCACGUGCCUGCCUCUGGCUUCGGGUCCCAGGGCUCUCGUGUUCGCGCCUGUCGGGAUCGACCCACUGCUCCGAGCUCUUCAGGCUUCCUGCCCCCGCCCGGGAGCCGGGGAGCCGUUUGCUUUGCUGCCGCGCGGCUCUCACUGGCCCCCGCAGCACCCGAGGCUCGGACGGGCUCAGGCCCCCAACCCUGCUGACGAUGGAAGCCCGCGGUCGUCGGUCGUCGUGAGCGCAGACGCACUUUGAGGAGCAGGAUGCGUUUGCUUUGGUCUGCGGGUAAGAAGCGGGGCCCAGUGCCGGCCGCGGAGGCGGUGCAGGCUCUGCGUCGGGGCCUGCGGGCCUUCAGCUACUGCGGCGCCCUGUGGUCACCCUACUCGUCCCGCUUCCUUCAUUUAAUCCUUUCGGACCUGCCAACAAACUGUCUGAUAUUUGAGGCGGGACUUGAAACACACACAAGGAGCUCGAGGAAACACCACAGGGGCCUGGCCGCCCGCAGCACUGACGGGCCACCCCGCACCAGCCCUCCUGUGGAGCGGCGCGGACCGGAGGUCGCCGCCCAGUGGGCCGCACAGUCCCACAUCCAAUACACGCGCCUCACGCGUCCUGCGGAGCGAAUGCUGCAGCUCAGUCGCCAACAGGCAAACGUUCCCAGUCGAGUGCCCGUGGUCCCGGCAAGGACCCCAAGACGCGCUUGUAAAACACCCAUGUACGAAUCGUCAGGGGAACUCAGGGCAGCAGUGCUGUGGUUUCAAUGUGACUUGGAUGGUCCCACCCUCCUCCCGAUCACAGAGAGCCCCUCCUGCAAGUACCCAGGUCUUGGUCUUGUUCCAGGGGAAGGAACUGUAUUCGCCCUACACCACUUGCUCCAAAGGGUCUUGCAGGGGCCUUCGUGUAGCCAAGAAGGUACCAGUCACUGAAGACCGUGGCUGGUGUGCUCAAUACAGGCUAGCCUCUGCACAUCAGCAAGCCGACCUUAGCAUGGUAUUUAUAGGAGUGGUGCUGAUAGUCAUAAUGAAUAAUCGUUGCUGCUCUCAUAAUUGCAUUUUUUGUUGAUUUCUCCAAUUGUUUAAGGCCAUUUAUAAAAAGCCAAUUGGACUUUAAACCCCACCACUGCCAUUUUUCAUGGUAAUACUGUACUUUCUCAUCACUCCUUUAAAAACUGUACUCAGCACAUUCUGUAGGCCGAGGAAAUAAACUUCUCAUCUGUAGCA
This 1356-nucleotide long non-coding RNA is filed under the name Vulpes vulpes (red fox). RNAcentral describes it as "lncRNA (ENSVVUG00000014273.1)". The record is from RNAcentral. Lineage: Eukaryota; Metazoa; Chordata; Mammalia; Carnivora; Canidae.